Pteropus alecto (black flying fox) is the source of this 119-nucleotide non-coding RNA. The record is from Rfam. NCBI's taxonomy places the organism in Eukaryota, Metazoa, Chordata, Mammalia, Chiroptera, Pteropodidae.
GUCUACGGCCAUGUUACCCUGAACAAGCCAGAUCUCAUCUGAUCUCGGAAGCUAAGCAGAGAUGGGCCUGGUUAGUAUUUGGAUGGGAGACCACCUAGGAAGACCAGGUGCUGUAGGCG